This 253-nucleotide ribosomal RNA is filed under the name uncultured bacterium. Its description in RNAcentral is "partial 16S ribosomal RNA". It matches the Rfam family "Bacterial small subunit ribosomal RNA", at positions 524 to 776 of the family's 1533-position model. The record is from RNAcentral.
UACGUAGGGGGCAAGCGUUGUCCGGAAUCAUUGGGCGUAAAGCGCGUGUAGGCGGCUCGAUAAGUCUGCUGUGAAAGUCCAGGGCUCAACCCUGGGAUGCCGGUGGAUACUGUCGAGCUCGAGUCCAGAAGAGGCGAGUGGAAUUCCUGGUGUAGCGGUGAAAUGCGCAGAUAUCAGGAGGAACACCAAUGGCGAAGGCAGCUCGCUGGGACGUGACUGACGCUGAGACGCGAAAGCGUGGGGAGCAAACAGG